UCCGGUUUGUCACCGGCAGUCUGGCGCGAGUCCCCAACUUAAUGAUGGCAACACGCCACGGGGGUUGCGCUCGUUGCGGGACUUAACCCAACAUCUCACGACACGAGCUGACGACAGCCAUGCACCACCUGUCACCCAGUCCGAAGAGGGCCUUGUCUCCAAGGCUUUCCGGGUGAUGUCAAACCCAGGUAAGGUUCUUCGCGUUGCAUCGAAUUAAUCCACAUGCUCCGCCGCUUGUGCGGGCCCCCGUCAAUUCCUUUGAGUAUUAGCCUUGCGGCCGUACUCCCCAGGCGGGGCGCUUAAUGCGUUAGCUACGGCACGGAGCACGUGGAAUGCACCCCACACCUAGCGCCCAGCGUUUACAGCGUGGACUAC
RNAcentral lists this unclassified non-coding RNA (375 nucleotides) under uncultured Actinomycetes bacterium. RNAcentral describes it as "uncultured actinobacterium contains 16S-23S intergenic spacer region". The record is from RNAcentral. Lineage: Bacteria; Bacillati; Actinomycetota; Actinomycetes.